AACUAAGUUUGUUAUUGGUAUGAGCUUUCGUGUGCAUGCACACUUCUUCAGAUACCUAUGGAAGGCACCACAUUGAGCUGCAUGAAAUGGAAGUCCAUCAACCUCACUGAUAUCUGAAGAAGUGUGCAUGCACAUGAAAGCUUAUACCAAUAACAAACUUAGUUGG
This is a non-coding RNA of Podarcis lilfordi (Lilford's wall lizard), 166 nucleotides long. The record is from the annotation of a GenBank genome assembly. NCBI's taxonomy places the organism in Eukaryota, Metazoa, Chordata, Lepidosauria, Squamata, Lacertidae.